UCGUUUUUCCACAUCCUGUGAAGCCUCCGGUGCUGUUUACCUGUAGGCUGAAUGUGCCUUAGGCUGCUUCUAAAUUGAUUUUACCCGCUUUCAAUAUGUUCGCUUAUUCAUAUCAAACAGCUGUCUAUGGGCUGUGUGUGCUCAGCGCCCUGUGGCUGUCUAACCCUGUGUCGGGGGAGAAGGUGUUAGAGAGCCCCGGGAUGAUCCAGGAUCUGCGGGAGGCCCUAGCUGAGCUAGCCGGAGAGGGAAGGAGCUACCUGGGCAGGCUGGCCGGGGAGCAGACGCUGCUGUCGGUGCACAAGGCUUUCUCUCAGGUCCUGGGUGUUGUGGCAGGAAGUUUGUCCGGGGGUCUGAACGUUCUCCUACAGUAUGCGUCACACUUCCUGCAGGCUGCUGGAAUCCAAGCUGAGUUCCCCAUCAGCAGAGUGAGCCCAGAGGGGGUGAGCUUUGUUGCCCAGUGGGUGAUCGUGGCUCUCAUUGGCUACUCGCUGAUCUCUUUCGUCUUCCGAUUGGUUGCCUCCACUCUGAGGCGGGCUAUGUGGCUGCUGAAAGUGGGCGUGGCUCUGGUGUGUUUCGGGCUGAUCCUGAGGGACCACAGUGUGGGCACACACACCAUGGUGGUCCGGCUGGCUGUGCUGGUGUGUGUGUGUGUGCUGCUUGGGGUCGGCUCUCUGCAGAGAUCCACGGCAGUCGAUAAGACCGCUCACCUGGAGGAGCAGGUGAAGACCCUGGAGAGACGGCUGAGAGAGAUGGAGAGGUGGAGGAGGACGGAGGAGUGAAAAGGGGACGGGCAGAAGUCCAAUGCCACAUGUACAGACUGGUGUCUUCUGGACAUUCAGGGCAGACAUUUUUGAUAUGAUUUGUUACUGACACGAUUUGAUUACUUAAUCAUUCCAGGGAGUGGACAUUUCUUAGUCUAGUUUUUUUGUUUACUGUUUCUCCAAACAGUGUGCCACAGCCUUUAUGUUCAAUGUUACCAUGUUUCAUCCCAAUUCAGGAGUGAGAGGAGAAGACGGAUACUCUUCACAUGUGCCUGGAAAUGAUAUCAACGUUUUUAUCCCACUCUUGGAAAGAAAGCUAAUGAAUCGGUCCUGAGACACGGCGACAGAGUGGGACAGACUGAUUGACAACCUGAAAACAUGAAUGGGGGCAGAAUAACUGUCCUGAGAGGACGUGCUGCUCAAUUCAGAGGACUUUUACUUGUAACAGAGUCUCUCCCAGCUCUGUCUAAACAUCAUUCUGUUGCCGUCUUUCUUUCUUACCCCAGUUGUAGGUGAUCAAUGUUUUUUUUGCUCAUGCAUGUGUUUAUACGAGCUGCCUGAAUGAAGCCAGUCAGAGCGAGCACACUGUUCAGUUCCACUCAGUAUUCAGUACACAGUACACUGAAUCUACGCAGCCUAUCCACUGCCAGCGAGUUUACCUCAAACAGCUCGGCCCUUUUGCACUGUUUAACAAUUUUGAACAACCUGAAAGUGAAUGACAUAGUCCUCAUAGGGAACCAGAAAUAACUGGUUCUACAUCAAGUGGUUGAAACCACAGGAAGUUCUGCUGUUAGUUUGGGAAAACUAUGACAUGGGACAUGAAUGUUGUAUCUAAGUAGUAUUUGGCUCCAUGUACAAACUGUAGUGGAGUACUUUGACUGUUGUAGGUUUCUGUGUUGUCUGAAUGUACUAGCUGUGGAAAUGUAAGGAUCCAUUCUAAAAAGUUGUGUGUUCUUUUUAGUUUUCAGAGUUAAAGCCAAUGCCAGGAAAAAUAAAACCAUGCACCCUGCUUAAACUGACACAUUUUUUCCCCACAUCCAUUCUUAUCCUCCCAUCCAUCAUCAAUAUCUAAUACUCUUCAUCUCAUCAAACGUCUAAGGAUCACUGUGGCAUGGUCCUUGCUACUGAGGUGGCACAACCACUUGUUCUGUCGAGUGUAAAAAGAGUUAAACAGAGGUUCAAACCUAGACUACCUACCCCACCUAAACCAGCUACCUGCAGCAGGCAAAUCACUGUGUAAUGGGAUGAUGUCAAAGCUGUUAUCUGAUGAAGUCUGGGGUGGCUGUGGCUAAGUGGAUAGAGUGCUGGACUUUGAAUCAGGGGGUAGCAAGUUCGAGUCCCACUGCAGUCAGCAUGUCG
RNA transcript from Trematomus bernacchii (emerald rockcod), 2120 nucleotides. It is a transcript of the gene named transmembrane protein 109, with no coding region annotated. The transcript is spliced from 5 exons. The record is from RefSeq and is a predicted model, not a curated record. Lineage: Eukaryota; Metazoa; Chordata; Actinopteri; Perciformes; Nototheniidae.